AAAUUGAAGAGUUUGAUCAUGGCUCAGAUUGAACGCUGGCGGCAGGCCUAACACAUGCAAGUCGAACGGUAACAGGAAGCAGCUUGCUGCUUCGCUGACGAGUGGCGGACGGGUGAGUAAUGUCUGGGAAACUGCCUGAUGGAGGGGGAUAACUACUGGAAACGGUGGCUAAUACCGCAUAACGUCGCAAGACCAAAGAGGGGGACCUUCGGGCCUCUUGCCAUCAGAUGUGCCCAGAUGGGAUUAGCUUGUUGGUGAGGUAACGGCUCACCAAGGCGACGAUCCCUAGCUGGUCUGAGAGGAUGACCAGCCACACUGGAACUGAGACACGGUCCAGACUCCUACGGGAGGCAGCAGUGGGGAAUAUUGCACAAUGGGCGCAAGCCUGAUGCAGCCAUGCCGCGUGUAUGAAGAAGGCCUUCGGGUUGUAAAGUACUUUCAGCGGGGAGGAAGGUGUUGCGGUUAAUAACCGCAGCAAUUGACGUUACCCGCAGAAGAAGCACCGGCUAACUCCGUGCCAGCAGCCGCGGUAAUACGGAGGGUGCAAGCGUUAAUCGGAAUUACUGGGCGUAAAGCGCACGCAGGCGGUCUGUCAAGUCGGAUGUGAAAUCCCCGGGCUCAACCUGGGAACUGCAUUCGAAACUGGCAGGCUUGAGUCUUGUAGAGGGGGGUAGAAUUCCAGGUGUAGCGGUGAAAUGCGUAGAGAUCUGGAGGAAUACCGGUGGCGAAGGCGGCCCCCUGGACAAAGACUGACGCUCAGGUGCGAAAGCGUGGGGAGCAAACAGGAUUAGAUACCCUGGUAGUCCACGCCGUAAACGAUGUCUACUUGGAGGUUGUGCCCUUGAGGCGUGGCUUCCGGAGCUAACGCGUUAAGUAGACCGCCUGGGGAGUACGGCCGCAAGGUUAAAACUCAAAUGAAUUGACGGGGGCCCGCACAAGCGGUGGAGCAUGUGGUUUAAUUCGAUGCAACGCGAAGAACCUUACCUGGUCUUGACAUCCACAGAACUUUCCAGAGAUGGAUUGGUGCCUUCGGGAACUGUGAGACAGGUGCUGCAUGGCUGUCGUCAGCUCGUGUUGUGAAAUGUUGGGUUAAGUCCCGCAACGAGCGCAACCCUUAUCCUUUGUUGCCAGCGGUUAGGCCGGGAACUCAAAGGAGACUGCCAGUGAUAAACUGGAGGAAGGUGGGGAUGACGUCAAGUCAUCAUGGCCCUUACGACCAGGGCUACACACGUGCUACAAUGGCGCAUACAAAGAGAAGCGACCUCGCGAGAGCAAGCGGACCUCAUAAAGUGCGUCGUAGUCCGGAUUGGAGUCUGCAACUCGACUCCAUGAAGUCGGAAUCGCUAGUAAUCGUGGAUCAGAAUGCCACGGUGAAUACGUUCCCGGGCCUUGUACACACCGCCCGUCACACCAUGGGAGUGGGUUGCAAAAGAAGUAGGUAGCUUAACCUUCGGGAGGGCGCUUACCACUUUGUGAUUCAUGACUGGGGUGAAGUCGUAACAAGGUAACCGUAGGGGAACCUGCGGUUGGAUCACCUCCUUACCUUAAAGAA
Molecule: ribosomal RNA, 1552 nt
Filed under: Salmonella enterica
Lineage: Bacteria; Pseudomonadati; Pseudomonadota; Gammaproteobacteria; Enterobacterales; Enterobacteriaceae
Also listed under: 1 other name
Description: bacterial SSU rRNA
Rfam family: Bacterial small subunit ribosomal RNA
Source: RNAcentral